This 221-nucleotide unclassified non-coding RNA is filed under the name Hevea brasiliensis (rubber tree). Lineage: Eukaryota; Viridiplantae; Streptophyta; Magnoliopsida; Malpighiales; Euphorbiaceae. The record is from RNAcentral.
GCGGAAGGACACGUCCUGUCAUAGAAGGUUGAAGAAAGCUGUGCUUGGCAUGGGAUGCAUGAGAAGGUUAUCAUCAGUAUUGUGAGAGCCACGAAAGUAAAAGAUAAGCGAGAAGCCAUUUUUCUUUUCUCCUUAAUCCUAGUAUAGCAGAAAUUUGCUAUUAUACAAAAUGCUCUAUGCAACUGGUAGAAAAAUAUCAGAGCAAAGCUAUUGGAGUGGUA